Molecule: long non-coding RNA, 888 nt
Organism: Leptopilina heterotoma
Lineage: Eukaryota; Metazoa; Arthropoda; Insecta; Hymenoptera; Figitidae
Exons: 3
Source: RefSeq, a predicted model, not a curated record
AUCCCCAUCGUAAUUCUUCUAUUAUAUUCUCAAGUUAAGGUCAAGCGAAUACCUUGCAGUUUUUAAACAAUAUUUGCCCAUUUUCUCCCACCAUUAUUUGUUCGCACCCCUUCUUCUUUUUCCUAUUCUUCUUCUUCUAUUCUCUCGCCCCUUACACUCUUUCCACUCUUUCUUUCUUUUUCAUUUCGUUGACCAUUCAUUUCACUCUAGUAGCAGUUGCCUGUAAAGUUAGUGUGUCAGGCGUUCACUGUGUCAUUUCAUUAAAGAGAGAAAAAAAUUGGAGGAAAAAAUUGCAGAAGAGAAAAAUAUACAAAAUUUUCUUUUAAAGUGCAACGAAACAAAAGACAAGGCAGGAGUCGACAUCUAUGCACGAACUGUACAAGUCAUUUGAGGAAAUUCCAUAUCGAUAAUAUCACUCAAGAAGUUUCCGACAUUAUCGAGACAAUUUGCUGAUAGUUGAUUAGGAGAGUUAGAUAAUAAUUUAGUUUAUAAAAAUGACGAAUAAUUUUCAAUUUCUAAAUUUUCUGGUGAAUCGAUGGAAAAUAUUUGCCAAUGAAAUAACAUUAAUUGUAAUAGAUAAUUUACAAUAAUUUACAGUUUUUCGGUAAAACGAUGGAAAAUGUUGCAAAAGAUUGUAUAAAUGAGGAGAAAAUGAAAAAAAUUAAUUGUAAUAGCUACUUUUUGUAGAAAUAAUUUUACAAUAAUUUACCGUUUUUCGGUAAAACGAUGGAAAAUGUUAAAAAGGAUUGUAUCAAUGCGGAGAAAAUGAAAAGAAAAUUAUUAUUCUCUGUAUUUAGGAAUGUAACUAGGUAUAAGUUGCGAAAAUUUGUUUGUAAAAUGUAUAUGAAAUAUAGUUUUUAAAAAUAAAAAUAAAUAAUUAAUCACUAA